Musa acuminata AAA Group (dessert banana) is the source of this 3306-nucleotide long non-coding RNA. RefSeq lists it as uncharacterized. The transcript has 3 exons. Lineage: Eukaryota; Viridiplantae; Streptophyta; Magnoliopsida; Zingiberales; Musaceae. The record is from RefSeq and is a predicted model, not a curated record.
AAUCUGAUUAAAAGGAAAAAGGAAAAUUCCAGUUUCUGCAUCUCUUCGCCCCUUCCUUCUCCCCCUCGCCCCGCUCUCGCGUUCGAUCGAUCGUCUGUCGUGGGAUUUCGAGGUCCCACGUCGCUGUAUCCGAUGGUUUCGGUCGCACGAAUUGAUGGAUUCCGAUCUCUGGAUCUCUCGCCUCGGCGCCGCCAAACAGUCACUACUCAAUCCAGCACCGGAAAAACAUCCAACCGGGUUAUUCUCCGAUCAUACCUUCGUUUGUCCGCUUCUUUUCUUUUUGAUUUUGUUGGUCUUUGUUAUGGAAAUCGUGGGCAAUUGUGCGUUUGGUUGGGAAUCGCUCGUGUUUGAUGGGAAUCGAGUGUAGCCGUGCCGUUUGACGACUCGAAGAUUGGAUUUUGCCAGACCAGUGGAGCACGGAUUAGUUCGAACAGCUUUUGAGAACAUUUGGAUCUGUGGUAUCAUUUGGCAUUAUAUGUGAUGGAACUCUUAUUUCCCUAAUUUCUUAAGUUGAAGUUACUAGAACAGAUUGAAUGCUACAUGUUCAUCAUUCAUUUUGAACAGUUAUGAGCCUACUUUUGUAAAUCUGACUUCCUUGGUAGGGCAUUAUAUAAAAUUUGGGUCCUUUCAGGGUCAAAAUUUGCAUCAAAUAUGGAUGUUUUGUCAUCUUCACUCGUCCAUGAGGAACCCUAUCCUAGACAAAAUCUGUCCCAUAGUGCAUGAAGCCAAAAUGGAGGGUCCAUAGUGUAGCUCUGGUACCAUUUUAACAGCCUGAGUUGUUAGUAUAACUUGUAUGGAAUGGGCCUACUAACAUGGUCCAAAAGUAUUAGUUCUCUGUGACUAAAAUAAUUCACAGCUUUACGGAGGUCUAUUCUUUCUUCUUGUGCCUAUACUGCUCCUCAAGGAUUUUGGAUUACAUGGUACAAUGUACUUUAGAGGACACCAUUUUCUUGCUUGAUAUUUCUUGGAUUUUCUUUGGACAAAACAUCGAUUGUUGGCUUGAUGCCCUUUCAUCAGGCUGGUAUUGCAUAUUUCAUGACAAAGAAUUAAUCUCCGUCUCAAACUUUAAAGUGCCAAAAAAAGGGUGUGCCGUUGGAUGAUUAUUGUUUAUAAUUGAUCAAAACAGACUUGCCUGAUCUAAUUUGAUCAAAACAGACUAGCUUUGAGAAACAAGAAGGAUUACCACAAGAAAGGUGCAUGUUGACGUAUUAUCAUGUCUACAAGGUAGCUUUUAAGAGAAAAGGUAUAAGACAUUUGAAGGGAAAUUCAUAAUAGGAAAAUGACAGCUGGAGGAAUAAUUUGGUGAUGCUCUGGAAUGAAGCAAGUUGAGAUUAUAGAAGAAGUUGUAUGGAUUUCUAACAGGUGAUUAAAUGACAAUAAAGAGAAGGAACUCAAAUGUUGUACAUAUCAGUCAAAACUGUUUUGUUAUAUUAUUUUGACAUUAUUAUUGAUAUUUGUAUAAUGCAGUGAGCAGUCAGAUGUUGUCUUUUUGUGCUGACCAACAAUGGAGUUGAAGAUGUAUUGUCCUGUUCAUUCAAGUGAACCGUUGACUUGUCAAUUAUGCAAUAUACUCACCAUUUUGGUAGAUCAUUCUUGUUUCUUGAAACUGUAGUUUAUCUUUUACCUUUUGAAGUUGUUAAUUACUAAACAGUAGCUCAGCUAUGUUGUGUAUGCAGAUUUCUAUGAGAGCAUAAAAGGGAGAUUGAGAAAGAAGUCUUGUUUUUAUUACCACUUACUCAACGGUUACAAAUGCACUUGAAAUUGCGUGUGCCAAAACCAGCUAUCAAGGAUCCAUGGAGUGAUGCUGUGGGUCUGGUCCUCCCGGAAUCGUGCGUUUCGAUGCAUAUGCUGCUGUCGCCACCAUCUGCCCCCGGAUUGGCCCGAUUACGAAUGCAAACUCCCCAUUGGUUGCCAUCCAUCGGCUGAUCACUCGAGGUUCAGAAGUGUGCAUGGAGGAGACAACCAAUGUGAUGCAAAGACAAAGUCCCAGGAUCAGCCUCACCAUGUAUCCUCCUUGUCAGAACUCCUUUCACUACCAAGUAUCAAUAGUUGCUAAGGCCUCUGGCUUUAUAGAACACUCGAAGGAGUUCAGAUUUUAUAUACAGCAGCAAAAUGGAUGCUUGCUACUCGACAGUGCUUGUCUUCUGGCCUACCACUAUCAUUGGUUGGCAAUGAAGAAGGAUGCUGCAGCUCUUCUUCAAGGUGAUGACUAGCUGAGCUGCUGCCCCUCUCUAGAUGCAGCCAGUUCCUACUGUUGAGAUCUCAGGAACCAUCUGGACGUCAUUAUCAAUCACAUCAUUUUAGCCAGUACUGUUGCUUUCACCGGAGGAGGGGCAUCUAUCUUCCUUGGAGCACAUAGGGGUUCGUAGGAGUUCAUAGACAGGCUAGAGGAGUAAUCUGUCUCCGGCUCAGUCCAAAAUCAUGUUGCCACGGUGACUGGUUCUACUCGGCACAACAGAACAGGAUGAUUUGGCCCUACCAGUUUACUGCUAACUAGAAACAAAUGGAGUAGAUAAUGCAAGAAGUUUUCAUAUGUUCUUGAGGUCAGUGACCGAACAACUUGAACAAGAAAACAAAAUCUGCAGCCUCAACUACAUUUGCUCUUAGUGGCAGUGGUGUCCAUGGCGAAUGGUCAACCAUGAUGGUGGUGCCUACUCGUAAAGAGUACCUCAACACAGCAUGAUAAGGCUUUUACAGCGAAUUUGGUGACACCAUAUUGUAUGUUUAUUAUAUGUGGUGGAAGAUGAUCCCAGAAUAAGAUCUUGGAAAGGUGACGACUGUAGCAAGUUGUGGAUUCUGGUGCUGUUAAAGAUCUAAAGAGAGUAUGCAUAUCUCCAUAUCAAUCAGGCCAAAGAAAAGUGCUGAAUGGAAACAUCAGCUUCUGCACCCAGUGCUGAAAAAGGCCAUGAAGGAAAGAAAAGUGCUGAAUGAAUUCAUCGGCUUCUGCACCCAUUGUUGAAAGAGGCCAUGAAAGACCAAAUGAAGCCUUUUGCAAGAAGUCACAGCGUACAAAGUGUCUUUUUCAAUGGAACAGCGUGGAACUCCAUGAUUGACAGGUCUUCUACAAAGUCGUAUUGUCAAGCUUAAGAAGUGAAAGCUACCGAGGAGAAAUAAUCCUUCAGAUUUAAGAAAAAUAAUUUCUCGCCAAGUUUUAUGUCAAUCAGAUAUCUAGUCCUUCAGGCAUUGGAAAAUUUGAUGUACUUGUGUACGUAGAACACACUUCCUUGCCAAAAAAGAAGGGUUUGACAAUGAAAAUUGGCCAUCAAGUAAAAGGAUUUUUGUCAUUAUUUUGACAUUUAGAGACAA